This is a long non-coding RNA of Danio aesculapii, 1518 nucleotides long. RefSeq lists it as uncharacterized. The transcript has 4 exons. Lineage: Eukaryota; Metazoa; Chordata; Actinopteri; Cypriniformes; Danionidae. The record is from RefSeq and is a predicted model, not a curated record.
GUCUGCCAAAAAGGGAGCGAACCUGAUGCUCUUUUUUCUUUUAAAUGCUUCUUUGAGACUAUUUUCUUAAUCCAAAAAAAGACGGCAAAGAGGAGAAUGGGACAGCUUUGAGUAGAAACAGAUGAAGCGGGCUUGUUUUUUUGUCGAGCAGUGGCUGGUACAGGCAGUUAAGGGGGAACUUUGACAGCGGGCCAGGAAAAAACAUUAACUGUGCUGUGUCCGGCAGGCUGAGUCUCAGUUGCCGAAGGGAAGGAGGACACUUUCCUUUGGCUGGCAUAGCACAGUGCUAGCGUUAACAGGCUUAGUCCCUGUCCAGGGGGGUGACUUCAGGACGGACGCUACAUCAACAUCUAGACCAAAACAGACACGCUAAGACAAAAGAAAUGCAGUAACAGGUGGCUGAGAAACAUUUCUAGAGCUAGUAAAAAUAUUUAGGAUGGAGUUUCAAUGGUCGAUGGCAUACCAAGUCUCCACUAAGGGCUCCUCCAAGCCUCUGGAACCUAUGCACUAUGUCAACCUUUUCCCAACCAGUGGCCUAGCAAAUGCUGGGGGAUGGAAUCAAGAGAUCAGUAGAUGCUGCUGCCAAACCCACCCAAUCCUAGGAGGACACCUUUAAUGAGCAAUCUGUACGGCAACUUCUUGGACCAGCUGGAGGCAUUAGCCCAGGUCAAGAGAGACACCAGGUGGAAAGGCAUCAGUGACUCAUAUGAAAGAGGAUCACGGUGGAAUGUUCUUUUCCCAGAGGCCUGUGCCUGUUGGAAUUAACCCUGCCAUAGAUCCCCUCCACCAACCGCAGGGGCCAGGUCAAACUGAUUAUCUUUCAGAGUGGCCUCGCGACAAGACCAGGGCUAUUAAAAGAGAUGCUCAUAAAAUGAUCUCGCACCUCUGCUCUUUUUACUUCUGCCACAUGUCUGGAGAUGACCAUAGGUCAGGUCCAAAGGGUGCCACUUUCAGGUAAACACCUGAAUGGAGAAGCAGCUACAAGACCUUUGCUUGGUGUAGUCGUAAGUUGGUCCCGUUCCACAGAGGACAUCAGUGUCAUCUUCCCCUGCGGCAGACGUAAUGGCAUCUGAUCGAGGGAUCUCUGUCUUCCUCCUCAUGCCCUCAGUUCAGACAGAAUACUCAAAGCGUGACAGAGAUGGGAUGCAGUCUGUCUCCCCGUCCACAAUGCAUUCCCUCUGAUGAAUUUUUCAAGCUAUUAUGUUUUUUUUUCUCCGUUGUUCUUGAGCACUAAGUUCUUAAUACACUGUGGCAUGCUGUUAAUGACCCAAACAAUCGCUGUUUCACACAUACAUAUUUCAUUACAACAGCUGAACAAAUUACAUAUUUAUGCUUUAUAAGGGGGAAUGCCAUUCGGAUUCAUUAGCUAUGCAGGCAGGUACAGGAGACCCAUCUGCAGCUGCAUCUGUACAACAGGAGCUGACAAUAACAGCUACGACCAUCUUUGCUCGUGCAAACAUUCACAUAAGCAGAUAAUACCGUGCCCAAAACCCUCAUGGUGAAGACGUAACAAGGUGA